GCAGCAGCCGCGGUAAUACGGAGGGUGCAAGCGUUAAUCGGAAUUACUGGGCGUAAAGCGUGCGUAGGCGGUUCGUUAAGUCUGUUGUGAAAGCCCCGGGCUCAACCUGGGAAUGGCAAUGGAUACUGGCGAGCUAGAGUGUGUCAGAGGAUGGUGGAAUUCCCGGUGUAGCGGUGAAAUGCGUAGAGAUCGGGAGGAACAUCAGUGGCGAAGGCGGCCAUCUGGGACAACACUGACGCUGAGGCACGAAAGCGUGGGGAGCAAACAGGAUUAGAUACCCCCGUAGUCCCUGUCUCUUAUAA
RNAcentral lists this ribosomal RNA (302 nucleotides) under uncultured bacterium. Its description in RNAcentral is "partial 16S ribosomal RNA". It matches the Rfam family "Bacterial small subunit ribosomal RNA", at positions 508 to 809 of the family's 1533-position model. The record is from RNAcentral.